AGCUCAAUGCAAGUAAUAGGCAAAGAAUGAGACAAGGGAGGCCCCAACCAAGGAUCCAACAACAGGCAAAGUAGCUGAGGCACCACUUGAUGGGCCAGGGGCAGGGGCCAGGACCUCGUUGGCCGCCAUGACCGAGCUCAGAGAAGCAGCUGCAACAAUGACAGCAAUGGAUAUCUUCUUAAGCUCCAUUAUGAAUGUUUUGUGAUAAUUAGUCCCCAAGACCUGCCUUGCAGAUGAAGAAACAGAAGCUUUU
RNAcentral lists this unclassified non-coding RNA (253 nucleotides) under Hevea brasiliensis (rubber tree). Lineage: Eukaryota; Viridiplantae; Streptophyta; Magnoliopsida; Malpighiales; Euphorbiaceae. The record is from RNAcentral.